RNAcentral lists this ribosomal RNA (444 nucleotides) under Triticum aestivum (bread wheat). RNAcentral describes it as "partial small subunit ribosomal RNA". Lineage: Eukaryota; Viridiplantae; Streptophyta; Magnoliopsida; Poales; Poaceae. The record is from RNAcentral.
AUGGCACCGUUCGCCUACCUGAAGGCGGUGUCCUUGGGCUGUGGGGUGGAUAUGGUGUUUGGAUGUGUUGGUGGCUGCUGUGGCGGCAUUUCUCUUUAUCAACUUCUCAUCGUGUCGAUUUGUUUCGCGUUCCUAUCCUGUAGUGCGCGUCUCCUUCAUGGUUGUGCCAUGGCAACUAAAGUUUCUUGUGGACCACAAUGUGGUCUGUUGCAGCCUGUCCCAUGGUAUACCUGGUUGCCAUUUGUGAAUUCAGGUUCUUGGGGAACCACUUCGCUUGCCGAAGAUGAGAAGGUUGUGGCCUCCUACGGCGAGGAAGACGGAUUUCAUUAUGCCCAGCUUGUUCGUCAUGCAGGAAUUGACUUGGGCCUUCUCCUUUCACAUUGUUGCUUUCCACAAGUUCGGUGCUUGUCUGGUGCUGGUUGUGUUGGUGGACGAAGACCUUGA